AUUGAACGCUGGCGGCAUGCUUUACACAUGCAAGUCGGACGGCAGCAUAAAAGAGCUUGCUCUUUUAAUGGCGAGUGGCGAACGGGUGAGUAAUGCAUCGGAACGUACCGAGUAGUGGGGGAUAACUGUCCGAAAGGAUGGCUAAUACCGCAUAUUCUCUGAGGAGGAAAGCAGGGGACCUUAGGGCCUUGCGCUAUUUGAGCGGCCGAUGUCUGAUUAGCUAGUUGGUGGGGUAAGAGCCCACCAAGGCGACGAUCAGUAGCGGGUCUGAGAGGAUGAUCCGCCACACUGGGACUGAGACACGGCCCAGACUCCUACGGGAGGCAGCAGUGGGGAAUUUUGGACAAUGGGCGCAAGCCUGAUCCAGCCAUGCCGCGUGUAUGAAGAAGGCCUUCGGGUUGUAAAGUACUUUUGUCAGGGAAGAAAAGCCUGAGGAUAACACCCUCAGGUCAUGACGGUACCUGAAGAAUAAGCACCGGCUAACUACGUGCCAGCAGCCGCGGUAAUACGUAGGGUGCGAGCGUUAAUCGGAAUUACUGGGCGUAAAGCGAGCGCAGACGGUUAUUUAAGCAAGAUGUGAAAGCCCCGGGCUCAACCUGGGAACUGCGUUUUGAACUGGGUAACUAGAGUGUGUCAGAGGGGGGUAGAAUUCCACGUGUAGCAGUGAAAUGCGUAGAGAUGUGGAGGAAUACCGAUGGCGAAGGCAGCCCCCUGGGAUAACACUGACGUUCAUGCUCGAAAGCGUGGGUAGCAAACAGG
This 759-nucleotide ribosomal RNA is filed under the name uncultured Neisseriaceae bacterium. RNAcentral's name for it is "bacterial SSU rRNA". It matches the Rfam family "Bacterial small subunit ribosomal RNA", at positions 28 to 776 of the family's 1533-position model. Lineage: Bacteria; Pseudomonadati; Pseudomonadota; Betaproteobacteria; Neisseriales; Neisseriaceae. The record is from RNAcentral.